Molecule: long non-coding RNA, 1390 nt
Filed under: Triticum aestivum (bread wheat)
Lineage: Eukaryota; Viridiplantae; Streptophyta; Magnoliopsida; Poales; Poaceae
Description: long non-coding RNA (TAES_LNC027601)
Source: RNAcentral
GUAUGUGUAUGAGAUUGAUUUAGAAUCAACUUAUAAAGAUACUUAUAUUCCAUUACAUGAAAGCUAUGCUUGAAAGAAAAUAUUCCGAUCAAUUGGUGAUAGCAUACAUUGGCUUUAAAAGACAGGCUAUAUUAGCAUAGAUGAAUGGUGUAUAUAGUGCUUGCCCGUUAACCAUUGCUCGAGUCUUGUACCUGCCGUCAACAGGAAGGAAAGAACCUACGACCCAGGCGGACGAACAACCUAGCCGUACACUGCAGACAGGACCAGAGGCCUAUAGAGGAACAAAAAUAAUCAAGCGACUGUAUGUAAAACAAUAAGCAGAUGGUACACCACUGGGAGAGACUGUAUUUGAUACAUAUAACAAUUGAGCAUAUUUUUGGAACACCAACUGGACCAUGAAACAAACAUAUAUAGCAAGCCAAGAAAAGGAGGAAUCAUGAUGCCACAAUGAAAAGAGUAAGUCCAAUGGACACAACUACAGAAGUACAUGUCAUAGGACAAGAUGCAAAAUCUAUAUAUCAAUUAGAUAUAGAAACAAAAACAGGAAAGAGUAAUCAUAAUGAUCUGAGUAUGUUGUAGAUUUCCUACUGAAAUUAUAAUUUAAUCAAUUUAAUGUCAAGAGAAAUGCAAUGAGGAAAGGGCCUGUAACAUGGAGUUGGUCCAACCCAGCCUCUCUAAUUCAUGAAACAGUAAGUUAAUUGUCACAGUCUUCUAGUUAUUAAUGGUCCUGCGUCACUAAUCUCAACAAACGCCAAAAGUUUGUGAUCCCAUGAAUGUACUAAGCGAUUUCCAUCAAGCCUAGACCAGCUCUCUUAGAUACCCCUGCCAAAAAUAGGAAAAUGGAACUAUGAAUACUCUCAGCUUACACAAAAUAAAAAACUAUGCAGGACAUGAUAGACACUUAGAAUUGCAAAGUUCAUUCGAUGUCAUAAAGCAAAAGACUAAGAACCAUUAUGUACCAACCUGGACGUUGCCUCUUACUCCCUUAGAUAUCAUGGUUCAACAAAUAAACCUCUUACUCCCUAGAAAUAGUAAAUCCUGCCUUCAUCAAUUACAGGGAGGAGCUUCCAACUGGAUUUGAAGGACCAUUUGUAUUAUACCCCCCCUAUACCAGUAUAAAAAACAACAAUCUUUUCACCAUCAAUAGUUAUCCUGCAACAUCAUUCAACUCUCACAUGAUUUAGAGAGAGUAGUAAUGAAGCACAGAUAAUAACAUUUGUCAGAAAAGAGUAGGAGAGAAACAAACAGAGUACAAUUUGAAUGCUCAGAACAAUCAAAUUAAACACUACAGGGAAAACUAAGAACAAUCAACCUUAACUACUGUAGGGAAGAUAAAAGUCGUCUCAAAUUAACUGCUAUUGGCUUUACUAAUCUACUAUUGUUCAGACUG